RNAcentral lists this ribosomal RNA (253 nucleotides) under uncultured bacterium. Its description in RNAcentral is "partial 16S ribosomal RNA". It matches the Rfam family "Bacterial small subunit ribosomal RNA", at positions 524 to 776 of the family's 1533-position model. The record is from RNAcentral.
GACAGAGGUCCCGAGCGUUGUUCGGAUUCAUUGGGCGUAAAGGGUGUGUAGGAGGUCGGGUCAGUCAGGUGUGAAAUCUCAGAGCUUAACUCUGAAACUGCGCUUGAUACUGCUCGGCUAGAGGAUCGGAGGGGGUAUCGGAAUUUAUGGUGUAGCAGUGAAAUGCGUAGAUAUCAUAAGGAACACCGGUGGCGAAGGCGGAUACCUGGAAGAUUCCUGACUCUGAAACACGAAAGCCAGGGGAGCAAACGGG